RNAcentral lists this long non-coding RNA (2211 nucleotides) under Spirodela polyrhiza (greater duckweed). RNAcentral describes it as "long non-coding RNA (SPOL_LNC001601)". Lineage: Eukaryota; Viridiplantae; Streptophyta; Magnoliopsida; Alismatales; Araceae. The record is from RNAcentral.
AAGGAGGAUGAUAUAAUAACUCUCCUCAUUUGUCGGUAACUCCUAUCCCACUGAUCAGCAUGCAUCUCUUCAUGUUGUUUUAUUUUGGUUUAUCUUUCCAAAUUUUUUUGUGCCAAUCAAUUCAUUCGAUCGAAUCACCAUGUAAUUUCACGGUGAAGCCAUUACCAGGCUGAAUGAGGCCUUCCACUUGGUGAAAUUAGGACCGACGGUUAGCAGUUUACAUUCGGCUGAGAUAAUUCUUUCCUAGAAUCAAUUUUUUGUCAGGCUUAUUUAAUGCCAUUUUCAAUGAACUUUCCAAAACAGCUCAGUGGUUAGGAUGCUGUAACCGGUGGAACUGGUCACUUGCUGAAGUUGAAAUCGAAAAUUAAACGUAAGGACAUUUCUAAGCCCCUCUAGAACGAAUGAUGAAUCUUGAAUAUCCCUGGGAGUUCUUUACUUCCACCUAAUCACCAUUUUUGUGCGCCCUCUUUCCAAAUUUUUUCAAUGCUCUCUGGUCGUCAUGGGGCUAUGAACGACAGAGGCCCCAUUAUGAAACAGAGAAGAUAACAACUUUAUCCCACAAGUUUCCAUUUCAUGGUACUAAUUUGUUUUAGUCUAUCCGCUGAGAAAUGAUCCUCGUUGGUGGAAAAUUCAUAAAGUAAGAGUGAUAUCCUAUUUAUUCGAACCAAUUAAACUGAAUGAAUGCAGUACAACUCAUCCAUAUAUUUCUAAACUGGAUUUUUGGACAGUGUCUCAGCAUGAAAUUCUGCUGCAGGAACAUUCCAUUACCAAUUCCAGAUCACUUCCAUUGACUUGAUCUUCUACCAAUCUCAAUGGCAUCAGUACUGCAAGGAAUUGAAGACUGAGAGGGAUUAAAAUUGUGUUUUCAAAUCAACAGGGCUUUGUACAGAGUAUGCUGAAGUCAUGAGUACGUUGCGGAUGGACUCCGCAGGUUGAAGAUUUUUCUUUUAAAUUUUUUUGUUGUCUGGAUUUUCUUUAUUUUCACUUGUUUCAAUGGUUUAGGGGAGGUGAAUACGAUUUUUAUGUGAAUUUUUAUUUCCUGAUUUCCCUUGGAUGAAUACCCCGAUAAUAUGAUCAAUUACACGUCUGGUAAUCUAUCUGUAAAUGUCGUUUCCUCAUAUAUCCUUUCUGGUUCUUAGGAAUUUUUGUAAAUCCUCAUCAAUCAAUCAGUGACUGAGUUCAGAGUUGAUAUCUGAAUUUAUAUGUAGACAUUUCUUUCCUACCAUACGUUUAAGUGGUAGGAAUCUUAUUUCAAGAUCGGACAAUGUCCACAGCAUGAAAACAUUCAGGAGAAAAAAAUUCAACCUUAGAGGGUAUGGUAGCCUCCUCAAUGGUUGAUUUUUUUUUUUAACUUCUCCACGUAAACACAUUCAUGCAUCUUGCUCAUAAAUAUUUUCAUUUUGUCUAAGAUCAAAUUUUCUUUUGGUUAGUGAGAGAGGAUUUAAAGGCUGAAUAAUGUGUAGCCAAUCAAUUUCUUACCCAUUUUUUCAUUUUUUAGGAAGUCUUAUUUUCCUAAGUGUAGUAUACAUUUAUUCAUUUUUUUAUGGCGAAUUGAUUGUACAUGAUUUUCCCCCCUUUUGGUAAAUUUUAUUUUAUCUAUUUUGUAUUGAGUGUCUACUAAAGGACUGUUAGAGUCCACCCCCUAACUAAGCUCAAUGCAGGCCUAGUCUCCUAGAUUCCCACUAUUUGUGCAUAUUUGUUUCUCAAUGGGAAAAAAACAUUUACAUAUAUUUCUUGUGAUUUCCUGAUACAUGUUUUUUUUUUCUGGGCCAAGAGAUCUGGGGAUAUGUUGAUGGGAGAGAAAGAAACUAAGAAAUGGUGAGGUAAAUAACUGAAAUAUGGAAGAAAAAUAAUGCAAAGUGAUGUGUUGUGUUUUGAGUCAGUAUGAAUCUACACAGAUGAAUAUAAUUAUACAAAUUAUGACUAGAGUUAGAAUUGCCCACUCAGUUGAAAAGCAUGUUCCAUUAAGACCAAAUUCUAAACAAGUAUUGCAGCCUUUGUGAUCUAAAUGGGUUACAAUAGUUAGAGAGUAAAAAAAUGAGAAAAUAUUAUUUAUCUUGAUCUACUAGUAUAUUUAUGAGUGUUCAAAGUUAUAUAAUUUAUGAGAACCAUUAAAUUGAUUUCAGGUGGACCAAAAAUAACAAGCAAGGGGAGAGUGAAUCAUCCCCCUUUUUUUCAUUAGAGUCAUAAAAUAAUCUUUGCUUGAUCGGG